Molecule: ribosomal RNA, 253 nt
Filed under: uncultured bacterium
Lineage: Bacteria
Description: partial 16S ribosomal RNA
Rfam family: Bacterial small subunit ribosomal RNA
Source: RNAcentral
UACAGAGGGGGCAAGCGUUGCUCGGAAUUACUGGGCGUAAAGGGCGCGUAGGCGGCCUGCUAAGUCGAACGUGAAAUCCCUGGGCUCAACCCAGGAACUGCGUCCGAUACUGGUUGGCUUGAAUCCGGGAGAGGGACGUGGAAUUCCAGGUGUAGCGGUGAAAUGCGUAGAUAUCUGGAGGAACACCGGUGGCGAAGGCGGCAUCCUGGACCGGCAUUGACGCUGAGGCGCGAAAGCCAGGGGAGCAAACGGG